This 442-nucleotide ribosomal RNA is filed under the name uncultured Bacillota bacterium. RNAcentral's name for it is "bacterial SSU rRNA". It matches the Rfam family "Bacterial small subunit ribosomal RNA", at positions 338 to 795 of the family's 1533-position model. The record is from RNAcentral. Lineage: Bacteria; Bacillati; Bacillota.
CCUACGGGGGGCUGCAGUGGGGAAUCUUGCACAAUGGGCGGAAGCCUGAUGCAGCGACGCCGCGUGAGGGACGAAGGUCUUCGGAUCGUAAACCUCUGUCCAAAGGGACGAAGGAGUGACGGUACCUUUGGAGGAAGCCCCGGCCAACUACGUGCCAGCAGCCGCGGUAAGACGUAGGGGGCGAGCGUUGUCCGGAAUCAUUGGGCGUAAAGGGCGCGUAGGCGGUGACGUAAGUCAGGCGUGAAAGGCAUCGGCUCAACCGACGCACAUAGCCUGAUACUACGUUGCUAGAGUGCAGGAGAGGAGAGUGGAAUUCCAGGUGUAGCGGUGAAAUGCGUAGAUAUCUGGAAGAACACCAGUGGCGAAGGCGGCUCUCUGGACUGUAACUGACGCUGAGGCGCGAAAGCUGGGGGAGCAAACAGGAUUAGAUACCCCGGUAGUC